This 353-nucleotide long non-coding RNA is filed under the name Erythranthe guttata (spotted monkey flower). RNAcentral describes it as "long non-coding RNA (EGUT_LNC003149)". The record is from RNAcentral. Lineage: Eukaryota; Viridiplantae; Streptophyta; Magnoliopsida; Lamiales; Phrymaceae.
CUAAUUGUAUUACCCUCUCAUUCUCAUCUUCUCACCUGAGUCCUCACGCGGCUCCCCACUAUUUUUUCUGCUUUUUGCUUUUCUCCCACUAACACCACCCUCGAUUCUCCGUCAACCACCACCCGCUCCGCCUCUUCCUCUCCGUCAAGCACCAGCGCCGCCCUCUUCCUCUCCGUCAAGCACCAGCGCUGCCUCCGUCAUUCUCUCCGCCUUGCACCGGCAACGCCGCCCUCUUUCUCUCCACCGAAAACCAGCCCCGCCGCCCUCGUUCUAUCCGCCGAGCACCAGCCCGCCACCCUUUAUUCUGUUUUCAUUUUUUUUCUUUUUUAAAUCCUGAUAUUCCGAAAAUAUUC